Pseudopipra pipra is the source of this 6648-nucleotide long non-coding RNA. RefSeq lists it as uncharacterized. NCBI's taxonomy places the organism in Eukaryota, Metazoa, Chordata, Aves, Passeriformes, Pipridae. The record is from RefSeq and is a predicted model, not a curated record. The transcript has 2 exons.
AAGAUCCCAGAAGGGCAGGUUGCUCUCCCAAGGUUUACAGGAAUGCUGGAGAUCCCUGGAUUCAGCCACUGCUCAAAAUCCUGCAAAGAUGAUUCUUCUUGAGCAGACUCUAGAGGCUGACAGGCAAAUUUAUUCCCACGUCUUUUAGUGGAGAACCAAUAUUAAAAUUAAAGGCACCGUCUUAGCGAGAACAGUAAAAAAAAAAAACAAACCAAAAAAAAACCAAAAAAGAAAGGAAGAAAAGAGAGAAGCAAAAAUGAGACCUCUUAGUGACAAUACUUCCAGAAAGGUGUUUUUCAAAGUAUUAUAGGAGCCUUUGUUGGUCCUUAAUCUCCCAGGUCCAAUGAUAGUUCUCUUUGUCCAGCUUUAAAAUCAUGAAGUCGGGUCCCUCAGCUGGAAAGAUUGUGCUCAGGGCAAAAUUAGUUUGUUCUGGGAGGGGUUUUUUGUUCCCAAAAUGAUGUUGCAGAAAAAGACAAAUAGGGAUCCCUUUGAUAUCUCCCCAAACUGCUCCCAGCUAAUUCCAGCAGUACAAUCCCCACAGAGCCAAUGUCCUGUCCUGGGGGGAAAGAGGAGCUGGCAAUAAAUGCUACAGGAGUUCUCAGAACUGUGAGUUUGCUGAGGUGAGCCAAUGAUUGGCACAUAGUCACGUGCACUGGGGGCUUUUCAGGGAGAAAAAGUGACAAGACAGAAAAAUAAAAGCUAUAACAAAGGUAAUAAAGCAUUCAUAGAAUGCCAGAAUGGUUUGGGUUGGAAGGGACCUUAAAGAUCAUCUCAUCCCACCCCCUGCCACGGGCAGGGACACCUUCCACUAGCCCAGGUUGCUCCAAGCCCCAUCCAACCUGACCUUGAACACUUCCAGGGGUGGGGCAACCUGUGUCAGGGCCUCCUCAUCCUCACAAGGAAGAAUUUCUUCCCAAUAUCCAAUCUAAAAGUGCUCCUUCAGUUUGAAUCCAUCCCCCUUGUCCUGUCACUACAGUUCCUGAUGAAGUUACAGGGCUGUCAGCCCCAGCUCCCUCACACAUGAACACACGUGCAGAUGAAGACACCAAGCCCUCAAAAGCACAUUUAAGGCAGUUUUGGACAGGCUCAGGAAGCACACAGAGGUAGAGGGGCUGCUGAAGAGUUUGGAAAUAGCAAAACCAGCCUAAAGCAAAUGGUCUCUAGACCAGCCCCCCGAGGGCUAAAAUUUAACUGAGUUGUUCUAGAUCUCAGUUUGGGGGAAAACAAAGAGUGGUCCCUUACACAUUGAGGUAGGAACAACAGGAGGAGAAAUGUAAUUGCUCAGAUGCUGUGGGGGGAAAAAAAAGAAAGAGAAAAAAGAAAAAAACCUGUUUGAAGUGCAUUUAUCCUUUAAUGGUUAGAUUUGCUAAAUGAGCCGAGAUCCUGGAAUGGCUGAUAAUCUCAGGAGGAUUGGCAUUGGUUUUAGUGGUGCAUUUCACAGGGGCUAAACUGGAUCUGUCUGCAAAUAUAAAACUUCAGUAAUCACAGUGCUUGGUUUCAAGCCUGCAGUAAAUAUGCUUUUGACGACCGCAGCCUCUUAGUCUGUUCAAUUCAUUUCAUUUAUUAUCUGCUGGCCUUUGACUCCCUGAGAACAAGCAGUGCACUGCAAAAGCCUCGAGACACGCUUCUCAUUUCAUCCUCCAGGUUGUAAAGCUCCCAAGAAAGGGUCAAACACAGAUUUAGGCAAGGCAAGGACUACGCUGGGCAAAAUGGUUUUGUAGAGCUGCUCUCACACAGAACUAUAAUAUCAGCCUGAAAACUGUCUCACAGGCUAUCAGAGGGCAGCUGGGAUGAAUUAGGUGAAGCAGAGAAGUGGACACAUUGUCUGGUGGAUGAAUCAAAGCAUUCAGUCACCAGAGGAGAGGGAAAAGCUGCAUCCUUUCAGAUGAGGAAGUAGAUGGAGGAAGGUUGUUCCAGACAACGAGAGCUCCUCGUGAGAUGGUUGCACACAGGCAGCUCUGACUGUGCAGCCUGAGCAAGAGGUAACUAUGGAGAUGCUUAAAAGGGGCCUGAGCCAAAAGGAAGGGAGAGUAAGGACACAAAUGUGUGAUUGUUCCCUGAGAGGCACGUUAGAAACAGGCAGCUGCAGAGCUGGAGGCACAGCAAGCAGGGCUGGAGGGAGCAGGGGGCAUGGAGAGGGGAGCUGGUGAGGAGGAGAACGCUGAGCACUGGGUUUGUGUCAUCCCUGCACCCAGGAGAAAGACAUCCCACACACCUGCCAAUAACCAGGCCCUUGGAAUAAUUGAUUUGCUCCCGAGCAGGGGAGUCAGCUUUGAAACGUUCUGUUUUCCAGCUGACACCCUAAAUUUUGGAGGUGGGUUUAGUGAACUUCAGAGCGUGGAGAACAGAAGGGCCAGAAAAAGCGACUGGAGCAGAGCUGUGAGCUGUCUAAGGAGAGCUCACAACAGAACAUGAGUCAGUCCCCAGCAGGGGAUGGGGUUGGGAACUUAAGGAGAGGGAGAAACAAUAAGGUUAAAACUGGAGCUGGCUGACAUUUUAAAAACAUGGGUUUUUUUCAACCACAACGAAUCUGUGUGGAACAUGUUUUUGUUGUUGUUGAUAUUUAACAGUCUUUGACAGGGGGGGAAAAAAAGCUCUUAUUAUUUUUUUAAAGAUAUUUCAACUUUGCUGGGGUAGGUACCUCUUUCUCUUCCUCCUCUGUUUGCUGUUUGUCACAUCCUUUAGUAGAGUUGGGGGGGGGGGGGGGGGGGGAGAAAAAAAAACACCAAAGAAACAAAUAAGCCAACCAGGAAUCCUGCCUCUCUUCUUUCAUAUCAUCGAGCAAAGCAAAAUGACAUUUUCCAUCAGUUCAGCUUGUUCAAAUUCCCUGAGCCCCAAAUUGCAUAAGACAAGAAGAGAUCUCCUGUGAAAGGAAGGGCUCAAAUCCCUGAGCUACAGCUUAUAGGUUCAGCCUCCAAAGCCAUCCCAUACAUCCAAAUAUUAAAGCCUGUUGUCAAUAGUGGCCCAGUGCCCAGCUGAAAUUACUUCCACACACGUCCAGAAGCUGCUCUACAUUUAUUUCAUGCCUUGAGGCCCUUUCACAUCACGUCUCCAUCACCAGGUAACAGCUUACAACACACAGGGACCCAGCUAAUCCAUCCCCGGGGUCUGUCCUUGGUCACCUCAGCACGAGGGUGUCUCUCUCCUCAGCCUUUGGAAGCCCAGGUUGCUGUGGCAGCCUCUGUCCAGAUGGCUCCAUUAUGUAGCACAGUUGGUAGGAUUUGUUAUGGAUAAUGUUGCCCACUCCAUCCCAGAUGUCUGAAUAAAUGCAGGCUGAAAUCGCCUCGUCAAGGAGACCUGGAUGCAAAACAUUCGGCCAAAAAAACAUUGGGAAGCCCUAUCCUGCUCUUUGGAAUUGGCUUCUGGUGACCAGGUUCUUUGCUGUUACCUUUAGCACCUAGUUAAUAUUUUACCACCCUGCCUAAAUAACCCCAAUUGAGUGGGCUGGGCACAGUUUAGCCCCCAGCAGUUCCCAAGCUCCACAAUGAACACAGCUCAGCCCCAGCACAUGGUUCUGUCUGGAUUAAUGGAUAUGGAAACAUCCACUGGGCCAGGAAAAAAAACAUGACUGAAGUGGGUGGAAUUGGUAGUAGAGCUUAUUGUGGUUAGUAAUUCGCAGCGUGGCAGCAAUAAGCAAAUGCAGGAUGGCACUCGUGGCUGGCACAGGCGGUGCUGGGAUGGCAGCACGGGGGUCUCUGAUCACCUCUCAGCUCCAUGGGAACACUCUGUGGGCAACCAGCACAUCCCCAAGGGCCACUGCAGCCCUUCCCUGCUCACACACUGCCACAUGUCUCACACAGCCCACCUCGAGGAGCCCGAAGAAUCUCGUUCCUGCGCUCCUCCCACUCCACCCAGCAGCGGUGGCCGGCAAAGUCUGACUCACAACGAGCCUCUGUAGUUUGAAGGUCGUGAAUAUCCCAUCAAACAGUAACUGCUGGUGACUUCUACAUCACAUCAGGCUUUAAACCAGCACGAGGCAGGUGCUCUCCAGGCACCAGCCCUCCUCUUUCAUCUCCCUAUUACACCCUAUUUAGUCAAACUCUGACACCACGGCAGCAUCGCCCUUCUAUACUUCCCUCUGUGACUCCUUUAUUCAUGCCUAAAACUGGGAUAAAUCCACUUCCUUCCCUAGCUCAGUGGAUUCUUGCAGAGGCCAUAAAGUGAAACCAUCUUAUGGCCGUAACAAUCACACCCAGGGUUUUUAAUUUGCCCAUCAGAGCUUUCUGUGCUCGCAGCUCUCGCUCUCUCACCACCCAAGGCAGCAGAAAUGACAGCGUGAGCUUCCCUGACCGGCCACGGAGAGCAGGAAACGCUGUCAGAGGAUGGUUAACGAGCAGGCAGGGGGAUCCAGAGCGUGCAUAAAACUCACACAGAUAACAAACACUCUCAAAAAAAGUAUCUACGUGGGGAAGUCACAGCCUGCCCGCGAGCACCGCGCGGGAAGGGGAGGCAGCUCAGUCCACAAAUUGCUCCGUAGGAAACGGUCCCUCGUUUCUCCUCUGCCUGGGAACGGCAGAACCCGUGUUCACGAUGCAAAGCGCUGCUGCCCGAGGUAAUUCCAGCCGCCUGUUCCCGGUGGAAGCGCAGCCGUUCAGCCCGAGCGAUGCCAGGCGACAAAGAGCGAUGCCAGGCGACAAAGAGCGAUGCCGGGCGCUGUCCGCGGCUCGUCCCUGUCACACGCGGACGAGCAUCAGCCCCGUCAGCGGCUGAGUCGGGACAAUUAGGAGCCGUUCCAGCAGGGCAGUGAUGCUGGGACGCCCAGAGCAGGGCCAGAGCAACGUGUAGCCAUGACGACUCCGCAGCUCUUGUGACGAGCCGGGAGCGCUCCAGCGGCCGGGACGGAGCCAGGCGAGGCUUCUCCCGCCGCAUCUGCCAGCCCGGCACGGGGCCAGCGUGUUGUGGCUGUCAGCGCAAGGACGGCAGCCCAGACACGCGUUUUCCCCGAAGCCUUCGCUCGAACACGACCACGGGAAGGGUUUGAGAUGGAUUUUCCCACACACACAUUGCGAGAGGUUUGUCCCCAGACACGCCGAGAGCAAGAGGGACAAGCGGGAGCAGCUUCUGUAAGAAAGGAAUUGCACCGUGACUUUGUCGGCGUGUGAUGAGUUCUGAGUGAUUUUGUUUGCCAGCAAGAGACACUUUUCUCGAUUAAUUCUCAAUUAAUGCUGAAAACUGGCAGCACAGAGAAGAGGGAUGGAGCACAGAACCCCCUUGACUCCUCUCAGUGGGUACCUGCCCCACUGACACACACUGACACCAAGUGCUGGAGCAUGUCCAGCAGGGGAUGGAGCUGGAGAAGGGGCUGGAGCAGCAGGAGCAGCUGAGGGAGCUGGGAGAGCUCAGCCUGGAGAAAAAGAGGCUCAGGGGGGACCUUCUGGCUCUGCAACUCCCUGACACGAGGGUGAAUCCAAGGAGGUCGGGCUCUGCUCCCAGGGAACAAGGGACAGGAGGAGAGGGAACGGCCUCAAGCUGUGUCAGGUUGGACAUCAGGAGAAAUUUCUGCCUGGAAAGGGUGGUCAGGCCUUGGAAGGGGCUGCCCAGGGAGGUAUUGGAGUCCCCAUCCCUGGAGGUGUCCAAGGAAGGACUGGCCGUGGCCCUCAGUGCUCUGGGCUGGGGGACAAGGAGGGGAUGGUCACAGGUUGAACUCCAAGGAUGACUUUGGAGAUCUUUCCCAACCUAAAGGAUUCUGUAACUGCCAGGGAGCAGGACAACAGCCCCACCAACAUCUCUUCCCCUGGGGCUUCAUUCCACGGAGGGAGAACAAAGAACACAAAUUUUACAGACUUGCUUAUUUUUUCUCCCAUUUCAAGGCUUUUUGGUCACUGCCCCCAUCCCACCCCCCCAGGUUUUCACCACCUCCUUGGGCAGGUGUGAGCAGCCCUAUGUGAGCAGUUCCCUUCCUCUUCUGCAGCUAACACAGGCCUCCACAUAAUUAAUUAGGUUCAUCUAUCAGGCCCAGUGAGUUGGCAUGUGACACCAGAUCAAAUUCUCUUAAUUUCUCCAUCCCCUGAAUACUUUAUAGCCAUUAAUUAGGGGUGUGAGCUGUGUGAAAGAUGUUACAAGAGCAAGAUCUGGAAACAUAGAUUAAAAAAAAGACAGACAGAUAAAUCACAGGCAGACAGAUGCUCAUCACACUCAGCUUCCAGUGAAACACAGAACCUUAUUUUAGAUUAAUAGAGAGCAGCAACAUCUCUAUUAAUGAGGCAGAAAAACAUCAGGGUCUUCUCUUGAUACUUUUAUUAAGUAAUACAUUUCUAGACAAAUUCUGACCCUGAUUUAAACCCCAUAACAACUCUAUCUGUACCAGAUUAUUCCCAUUGCAACUGGGCACCUCUUUAACCACCAUUCCUCAGAGCAAUUUUGACCCAAGCUCUAAAAUCUCUUAUAGCACUAAAAAUAUUUUUAAAAAAGCCCAUGUAGGGAUUUCUUUUAUCAUUAUUUCAGGAAGGGGAAAAGAAGGGAAGAGAGGUGGCUUUGUCAGUCAGCUGGACUGGUAGCGUGGGAACUUCAGCACAGAGGAAGCUUUGAAUUCCAGCCAAGAUGCAGCAACUGUGUAAAACAUAAUUCCAUCAAGGAAAAACUGUCCCUGAGGUUGAACAUCAUGUUCUUGGGUGUUGGAAAAGAUUAAACGAUAAAGUUCAUUUGAAA